Molecule: ribosomal RNA, 394 nt
Filed under: uncultured bacterium
Lineage: Bacteria
Description: bacterial SSU rRNA
Rfam family: Bacterial small subunit ribosomal RNA
Source: RNAcentral
AGUGAACGCUGGCGGCAGGCCUAACACAUGCAAGUCGAGCGGCAGCACGGCAAUAGCAAUAUUGUGGGUGGCGAGCGGCGGACGGGUGAGGAAUGCAUCGGGAUCUACCCUGUCGUGGGGGACAACGUAGGGAAACUUACGCUAAUACCGCAUGAUCUGGAGACAGCAAAGCCGGGGACCUUCGGGCCUGGCGCGAUGGGAUGAGCCGAUGUCCGAUUAGCUAGUUGGCGGGGUAAAGGCCCACCAAGGCGACGAUCGGUAGCUGGUCUGAGAGGACGACCAGCCACACUGGAACUGAGACACGGUCCAGACUCCUACGGGAGGCAGCAGUGGGGAAUAUUGGACAAUGGGGGCAACCCUGAUCCAGCCAUGCCGCGUGGGUGAAGAAGGCCUC